CAUUAUUGAUUGUGAAUGGGUCAUCUCCUGUGCUGGCUUCUGCAAGUGCACGCUGGUGACUUUCAUCCCAACACCCUUGUGAACCUUUGGCCUCUUGCUAGCCUCGGCUCGCAGAGGAUUAUUACACAAUCUCGAAUGUAAUGAAGACCCUUGAUGUGCGCAAGCACUAAUAUACAACUUUCAACAACGGAUCUCUUGGCUCUCGCAUCGAUGAAGAACGCAGCGAAAUGCGAUAAGUAAUGUGAAUUGCAGAAUUCAGUGAAUCAUCGAAUCUUUGAACGCACCUUGCACCCUUUGGCAUUCCGAAGGGUAUGCUCGUUUGAGUCUCAUUGUACUCUCACACUUCUAAUCUUUUGGAUUGGGAGCGGUGGACUUGGGUGUUGCUGCUUUACCGUGGCUCACCUCAAAUCUGUUAGUGCAACUCUUGGUUGGACAUAGUACGGCGUGAUAAGUAUCUUCGCCGUCACCUCGAAAGAGGGUGGCCAGUUGGGAGCUCUGUGCUUCAAACUGUCUUUGGACAAUAUCUGACAACUUGAGCUCAAAUCGAGUAGGACUACCCGCUGAACUUAAGCAUAUCAAUAAGCGGAGGAA
Molecule: ribosomal RNA, 591 nt
Filed under: uncultured Sebacinales
Lineage: Eukaryota; Fungi; Basidiomycota; Agaricomycetes; Sebacinales
Description: eukaryotic LSU rRNA
Rfam family: 5.8S ribosomal RNA (bases 176-329)
Source: RNAcentral